AACGAACGCUGGCGGCAUGCCUAACACAUGCAAGUCGAACGAAGACUUCGGGCAUAGUGGCGCACGGGUUCGUAACGGGUGGGAAUCUGCCUUUCGGUUCGGAAUAACUCAGGGAAACUUGAGCUAAUACCGGAUAACGUCGCAAGACCAAAGAUUUAUUACCGAAAGAUGAGCCCUCGUAGGAUUAGCUGGUUGGUGAGGUAAAGGCUCACCAAGGCGAGGAUCCUUAGCUGGUCUGAGAGGAUGAUCAGCCACACUGGGACUGGGACACGGCCCAGACUCCUACGGGAGGCAGCAGUGGGGAAUAUAGGACCGCGGGCGAAAGCCUGAUCCAGCACUGCCGGGUGAGUGAUGUAGGCCUUAGGGUUGUAAAGCGCUUGUACCCGGGAAGAUAAUGACGGUACCGGGAGAAUAAGCCCCGGCUAACUACGUG
Molecule: ribosomal RNA, 433 nt
Filed under: uncultured bacterium
Lineage: Bacteria
Description: partial 16S ribosomal RNA
Rfam family: Bacterial small subunit ribosomal RNA
Source: RNAcentral